RNAcentral lists this ribosomal RNA (253 nucleotides) under uncultured bacterium. RNAcentral's name for it is "partial 16S ribosomal RNA". It matches the Rfam family "Bacterial small subunit ribosomal RNA", at positions 524 to 776 of the family's 1533-position model. The record is from RNAcentral.
UACGGAGGAUGCAAGCGUUAUCCGGAAUGAUUGGGCGUAAAGCGUCCGCAGGUGGCGAUGUAAGUCUGCUGUUAAAGAGUGAGGCUCAACCUCAUAAGAGCAGUGGAAACUACAUAGCUAGAGUACGUUCGGGGCAGAGGGAAUUCCUGGUGUAGCGGUGAAAUGCGUAGAGAUCAGGAAGAACACCAGUGGCGAAGGCGGCAUCCUGGACCGACACUGACGCUGAGGAGCGAAAGCCAGGGGAGCAAACGGG